UCUCUCCCCUGACUGGUACAGAUACCCCCACCACACUCACCCCUCUCUGUUCACCGUCUGCCCUGGCCUGUCUCCCCCUGACUGGUACAGGUACCCCCACCACACUCACCCCUCUCUGUUCACCAUCUGCCCUGGUCUGUCUCCCCCUGUCUGGUACAGGUACCUCCAUCACACUCACCCCUCUCUAUUCACCGUCUGCCCUGGCCUGUCUCCCCGUCUGGUACAGGUACCUCCACCACACUCACCCCUCUCUCCCUGGCCUGUCUCCCCCUGUCUGGUACAGGUACCCCCACCACACUCACCCCUCUCUGUUCACCGUCUGCCCUGGCCUGUCUCCCCCUGUCUGGUACAGGUACCCCCACCACACUCACCCCUCUCUGUUCACCGUCUGCCCUGGCCUGUCUCCCCUGUCUGGUACAGGUACCUCCACCACACUCACCCCUCUCUCCCUGGCCUGUCUCCCCUGUCUGGUACAGGUACCCCCACCACACUCACCCCUCUCUCCCUGGCCUGUCUCCCCCUGUCUGGUACAGGUACCCCCACCACACUCACCCCUCUCUCCCUGGUCUGUCUCCCCCUGUCUGGUACAGGUACCCCCACCACACUCACCCC
This is a long non-coding RNA of Oncorhynchus tshawytscha (Chinook salmon), 612 nucleotides long. The record is from Ensembl. NCBI's taxonomy places the organism in Eukaryota, Metazoa, Chordata, Actinopteri, Salmoniformes, Salmonidae.